GAGCGCAACCCUCGCCCUUAGUUGCCAGCAUUUAGUUGGGCACUCUAAGGGGACUGCCGGUGAUAAGCCGAGAGGAAGGUGGGGAUGACGUCAAGUCCUCAUGGCCCUUACGGGCUGGGCUACACACGUGCUACAAUGGUGGUGACAGUGGGCAGCAAGACAGCGAUGUCGAGCUAAUCUCCAAAAGCCAUCUCAGUUCGGAUUGCACUCUGCAACUCGAGUGCAUGAAGUUGGAAUCGCUAGUAAUCGCAGAUCAGCAUGCUGCAGUGAAUACGUUCCCGGGCCUUGUACACACCGCCCGUCACACCAUGGGAGUUGGUUUUACCCGAAGGUAGUGCGCUAACCGCAAGGAGGCAGCUAACCACGGUAGGGUCAGCGACUGGGGUGAAGUCGUAACAAGGUAGCCGUAGGGGAACCUGCGGCUGGAUCACCUCCUUUCUAAGGAAGC
Molecule: ribosomal RNA, 448 nt
Filed under: Pseudomonas frederiksbergensis
Lineage: Bacteria; Pseudomonadati; Pseudomonadota; Gammaproteobacteria; Pseudomonadales; Pseudomonadaceae
Description: bacterial SSU rRNA
Rfam family: Bacterial small subunit ribosomal RNA
Source: RNAcentral